UUAAAGUCUAACCUGCCCACUGAAAAUUUUAAAUGGCCGCAGUAUUCUAACUGUGCAAAGGUAGCAUAAUCAUUAGUCUUUUAAUUGAAGGCUGGAAUGAAUGGUUGGACGAAAUAUUAACUGAUUCAUUUUAAUUUUUUAUAGAAUUUUAUUUUUUAGUCAAAAAGCUAAAAUAAAUUUAAAAGACGAGAAGACCCUAUAAAUCUUUAUAUUUUGUUUAUUUUAAUUUUAAAGAUUAUUUUAAUUUUAAUAAAUAAAAAUAUUUUAUUGGGGUGAUAUUAAAAUUUAAAAAACUUUUAAUUUUGAAUACCAUUAAUUUAUGAGUAAUUGAUCCAUUAAUAAUGAUUAAAAAUUUAAGUUACUUUAGGGAUAACAGCGUAAUUUUUUUGGAGAGUUCAUAUCGAUAAAAAAGAUUGCGACCUCGAUGUUGGAUUAAGAUAUAAUUUUGGGUGUAGCCGUUCAAAUUUUAAGUCUGUUCGACUUUUAAAUUCUUACAUGAUCUGAGUUCAAACCGGCGUAAGCCAGGUUGGUUUCUAUCUUUAAAAAAUUAAAAUAUUUUAGUACGAAAGGACCAAAUAUUUAAAUAAUUAUAUUUUAUAUAAGAAUAUUAUUAAUAUAA
RNAcentral lists this ribosomal RNA (619 nucleotides) under Drosophila mediostriata. RNAcentral describes it as "partial 16S ribosomal RNA". It matches the Rfam family "Bacterial large subunit ribosomal RNA", at positions 1845 to 2746 of the family's 2925-position model. The record is from RNAcentral. Lineage: Eukaryota; Metazoa; Arthropoda; Insecta; Diptera; Drosophilidae.